UACGGGGGGAGCAAGCGUUGUUCGGAUUUACUGGGCGUAAAGGGCGCGUAGGCGGUAGCACAAGUCAGUUGUGGAAUCUCCGGGCUUAACUCGGAAAGGUCAACUGAUACUGUGCGACUAGAGUGCAGAAGGGGCAACUGGAAUUCUCGGUGUAGCGGUGAAAUGCGUAGAUAUCGAGAGGAACACCUGCGGCGAAGGCGGGUUGCUGGGCUGACACUGACGCUGAGGCGCGAAAGCCAGGGGAGCGAACGGG
This 253-nucleotide ribosomal RNA is filed under the name uncultured bacterium. RNAcentral describes it as "partial 16S ribosomal RNA". It matches the Rfam family "Bacterial small subunit ribosomal RNA", at positions 524 to 776 of the family's 1533-position model. The record is from RNAcentral.